Molecule: ribosomal RNA, 491 nt
Filed under: uncultured bacterium
Lineage: Bacteria
Description: partial 16S ribosomal RNA
Rfam family: Bacterial small subunit ribosomal RNA
Source: RNAcentral
ACUGCCCCCUUUCUUUAUUCCUAACACAUGCAAGUCGAACGGCAGCACAGUAAGAGCUUGCUCUUACGGGUGGCGAGUGGCGGACGGGUGAGGAAUACAUCGGAAUCUACUUUUUCGUGGGGGAUAACGUAGGGAAACUUACGCUAAUACCGCAUACGACCUACGGGUGAAAGCAGGGGAUCUUCGGACCUUGCGCGAUUGAAUGAGCCGAUGUCGGAUUAGCUAGUUGGCGGGGUAAAGGCCCACCAAGGCGACGAUCCGUAGCUGGUCUGAGAGGAUGAUCAGCCACACUGGAACUGAGACACGGUCCAGACUCCGACGGGAGGCAGCAGUGGGGAAUAUUGGACAAUGGGCGCAAGCCUGAUCCAGCCAUACCGCGUGGGUGAAGGAGGCCUUCGGGUUGUAAAGCCCUUUUGUUGGGAAAGAAAAGCAGCAGGUUAAUACCCCGCUGUUCUGACGGUACCCAAAGAAUAAGCACCGGCUAACUUCGU